Molecule: long non-coding RNA, 934 nt
Organism: Rhododendron vialii
Lineage: Eukaryota; Viridiplantae; Streptophyta; Magnoliopsida; Ericales; Ericaceae
Exons: 2
Source: RefSeq, a predicted model, not a curated record
AAUUAUGAAGAAGGUGAGAUACAGCCACUGAACUGAGAUACAAUAUAGAAAAAGAAUACUAAAACCAAGAUAUAAAAUAAAAUGUAUCCAGAUGAACAUUGAUAAUAUCAAUUCGAGGGUAUUUAGUUAUUUACUUGUAUCCAGGAUUUUAAAUAAAGGGCUUACAUAUCCUAUCGUCACUACGUAAUGGGAUUUCGGACCUCUAAUACCAUUGGUCACUUACGACUGCUGAUACGGUCCGAUAUAGACAACUAUAUGGCCAUAUCACCGAUACCGUUACGUUUCGCGAUACCGCGAUUUAAAACCCUGCUCAUAUCGGGUCCAGAAAAAUUCAAAAGCAAUUUGUAAAAUCAAAUCAUCAUAUACUAAUUUUGAAGUAAGGAUUUCAACUGAACGAGUUCCACCAAUGGAAACAGAUGCAUAGAAUUGACGGAAAACAACAGACACAGUAAGUUUGGUGACAGCAUUUCCGCUAAAAAACUAAAGGAAAAGAGCGUAAAAAAGAACUUGCGUGCAGCAUUCGAAUUUUUCAAAAGCAAAUGCAUGAAUGAUGACAAAAUCAAGCAAAUUUUUUUUUCAUCAUGUUAAAAUAUCCAUCACUCUAAGUCACCAGAAGCAUUGCACAACUUUCAAAUGCAGGCCUCUGCUUGGCGUUUGGUGGAUUAUGAACAGCAAAGUCACCGAGCUGUAGUCCAAUUCCAUGAAUAAAUAGGAAGCUUUAAACUGAUGUUAUUGCUGUAAUUCUAGGUAGUAUCAAGCACGAUUCUCCUUUGAUUUCAGGCACCAAGUAAUUAUCAGCUUAUAUGGAAAUACAGAUCAGCUCCCCAAGGAAUAGGAAGCUAAACACUUGUCUAUACAGUAGCAAGUUCUGUACCCAAUUACUGACUGAUUACCUUCUUGUGAGUUGUCAUGGAUGCCUUUGGUUGCUCCAGCA